This 20-nucleotide small nuclear RNA is filed under the name Arabidopsis thaliana (thale cress). Its description in RNAcentral is "snRNA_08805". The record is from RNAcentral. Lineage: Eukaryota; Viridiplantae; Streptophyta; Magnoliopsida; Brassicales; Brassicaceae.
CUAACAAGGAUUCCCUUAGU